Molecule: ribosomal RNA, 206 nt
Filed under: uncultured bacterium
Lineage: Bacteria
Description: partial 16S ribosomal RNA
Rfam family: Bacterial small subunit ribosomal RNA
Source: RNAcentral
CGCGUAGGCGGGAUGGCAAGUCGGUCGUGAAAUCUCUCGGCUCAACCGAGAAACGUCGGCCGAUACUGCCGUUCUUGAGGGAUGCAGAGGAGACUGGAAUUCCCGGUGUAGCGGUGAAAUGUGUAGAGAUCGGGAGGAACACCGGUGGCGAAGGCGGGUCUCUGGGCAUUUCCUGACGCUGAGGCGCGAAAGCGUGGGAGCAAACG